UACAGAGGUCUCAAGCGUUGUUCGGAUUCACUGGGCGUAAAGCGCACGUAGGCCGAUUGUUAAGUCAGGGGUGAAAUCCUGGAGCUCAACUCCAGAACUGCCCUUGAUACUGACGGUCUCGAGUCCGGGAGAGGUGAGUGGAACUGCGAGUGUAGAGGUGAAAUUCGUAGAUAUUCGCAAGAACACCAGUGGCGAAGGCGGCUCACUGGCCCGGUACUGACGCUGAGGUGCGAAAGCGUGGGGAGCAAACAGG
This 253-nucleotide ribosomal RNA is filed under the name uncultured bacterium. RNAcentral describes it as "partial 16S ribosomal RNA". It matches the Rfam family "Bacterial small subunit ribosomal RNA", at positions 524 to 776 of the family's 1533-position model. The record is from RNAcentral.